CUGCUUUCUCAAUGCUUGUCUUACAAAUCUAUUGUUAUCAAAAUAUUCUCUACUGAUGGAAUAUCUAGUCAUCAUUGAAAAGCAAAGUGCUUUGUUUUCCAGGAGAGAUAGCUCAUAUUGGAAAUGGUCUGUAUUUUGUAAAAUUUUGCAAGCAAGCACACACUAUUGUUGUUAUUAAGUAUGUGUGUGUAUGUGUGUGUGUGUGUGUAAAAUCUAACAUUGGGUCAAAAAUCAAGGUAUUCUAUUUUAACAUACAUUUUUACUGUUUUCAUUUCAUUCUCUAGAAAUUGCAAAUAUCAUCAUGCAGAAAUUUCACUUCUUCAGUUUCCUGAGCUCACAGGUCACAUUGCUUUUUUACUGGAAUCUCUACCUGGCUCAGUAACCAAGGCAACAAAUCCCUGGUUAAUGAUUCACUAGAAAUUCACUGUGGAGGUGGCUUAUUAGUUUUUUUCCCCAAGAGCUGGGAUAAAAAGCUUGCUUGUGAUAUUUUCAUCUAUUUCUCUUUUCUCUCUUACUUGAGAUCCAGACAACCUAAAGUAAACUUAAUUAAAAUCAAUAGACUAAAAUAUCCAGUGCUUUAAAUUACUAUUUUGGGACUUACAGUGUUUGUAUAUAUAAAUAUGGAAUAUUAAUAAGUUUAAGAGUAUUUUGUUUUAUGUUUCUACCUCUUUCAGUUUGCAUUUUUGAUGUGUGCAUAAAAAACAAAAAUAAUUUUAAAAUGGUAGUUUUAGGCUUAAGCAGUAUCCUAGUUCUGGAAGAGUUGUUUGUAGAAAGCAUCUUUAAGAAGUUACUAACAUGCCUCAGGGGAAGAAGAGAAGACAAGUAAAAAUCCAACAGAACUUUGAAUAGGAAAAAAAGAGUCAACUUUAUGAAAAGGAGUAAGUAUGGGAAGAAAUUGACAAGAGGGCAAAAAACCAAAAACCACUAAACUAAAAAAACCCCUUGGUGUUGUUUAAAAAUAUUCCAUAGUAUAUGAAGAUACAGUUCUAAUGGAUGAAUGAAUCCAAAUAUAUUUCUGGAAAAUUUUGUUUUCUGCCAUAAUAUUUAAAGGGAAGCAAGGGGAAGAGGAAAUGAUAGAAUGACAUUUGACGUGUUUCCCAAGUGUUUAUAAAAGAGAAAAAGGCAGUGACACUGGAGAACAAAAUUACCUGGCUUGAAAGUGCUAAAAGGAAUGGACCUCUUGAGAGGAAUGGGGGAUACAUUAACAACGGACUUUUUACACGUUCCCCCCCCCCCCCUUGCCAAGGCAGCUUUUAGUGCCAUGUUUAAAAGGUUCAAAAUAGCUAAAAUCAUGAGUUGAGAACUGUUAACUCUAGGAAGUAUUUUAGAACUUCUAUUAAGAAUUGGAGACAACUAAUAUAAGAAAAUCCUCCUAGACCUUAUAAGUUAAUAGAAGGUAUUUAUCUAUGGUGUGACAGUUAUUUAUAUUGUCAAAAAAACAUACAAUGAAAAAAACUCAUGAUUUCAUUAUAUUGAAAGCUUGAGAAGAGCCCUUUAAAGAACAGUAGACACACUACUAAUAAAUAGUGUUUAGGCACACUAUUAAUAAAUCUGUCAUUUUUACAUUACACAAAUUGGAAAUUGUUUCUGGAAGAACAAAAAAGAAUUUUGUUUAGUAGUUCUGUAGAAUGUACUUGCCACUAAGGAACAUCUUGGCAGCAUGAUACAGAUCCCAUAGAGGAUCAAUUUUCCGACCAAACUCACCACUAGGAAAAACAAUAACAAAUUACCCAAAAGUCAAAAGUGGAUACAGUACUACCAGUGGCUAAGAAUUGGUUUUGUCCCUCCUUGUCCAUAUUCCUCCCUCCACUACAGUUUUGUCUGGAGGCAACUCUGACUUCCUUUUGGCCCAGAAACAUUGGGUCAGAGCUGGCUCUACUUCUGGGCACUAUAGCUGGAGUUCUUACCCACGCCAAGCCAGUUAGAACUACCAACCUUGCCAAUUUCAGCCAAGAAGACUCAAUCCAAACUUUUGUUUGUGCUUUUAUUGAACUCUCCCUCUGGUGGUGGCCUUCAUGUGAUGAUUAUGGAAUCUGAAGUUUCAGGAACCACUGCAGGGAGCUUGAGAAUGGAGUCAACUCAGAGGAAGCAAAGAAAAUUAGUGAUAUCAUUUGAGUCCUGAAUAAAGCCACACCUGAAGUUACUACUUGGUCUGGACUUUUCAUUUAAAUGAACAGUGCAGAACUUCCAGAAAAGAGCCAGUAGGAGCUGAGUAAUUCUGUAAUGAAAGGAAGUGUAGCUUGUGCAGGAGAUCUCUUCUUGGUCAACAACUGGAAUGUUAGAAAAGAAUUUAAAGGCAAAUACCAGUCCUUCAGGAAGCCUGUAUCAGAGUUAAGGGGAAAAAACCAACGACAACAAAGCCAAAGAACUGUUCGGUGCUGUUUUACUGUUCUGAUGUAGUAAAUAUACAAAGAAUACAUAGAAGCAACAAGAAAAUUAUUAGUCACCAGAAACCUUUGAGGAGGAGAGGGCAACAUAGUAAAUAAGGAGAGUAACUGGUUAAAUACCUAUAUUAUGCAUGGGCCCAAAAGUGAGUGCUUAUUCGGGCAGAUAGUUUUGAAAAUUUCUUAUAGUUUAUUUCACUGAGGUUGUCUAUAGUGGUCAACAUUGUAGUAGAGAGUAAAUCACCAGGUCAUUUUAUGGCAUGUAAACAGAUAUUGAGAAUUGUUUUAGGUUUUGGAACAUAAUUUGGAAAAUAAGGUACCAAUUAUAUUAAAUGACUUUGUAGCAGACAC
Molecule: long non-coding RNA, 2735 nt
Organism: Felis catus (domestic cat)
Lineage: Eukaryota; Metazoa; Chordata; Mammalia; Carnivora; Felidae
Exons: 2
Source: RefSeq, a predicted model, not a curated record